This 253-nucleotide ribosomal RNA is filed under the name uncultured bacterium. RNAcentral's name for it is "partial 16S ribosomal RNA". It matches the Rfam family "Bacterial small subunit ribosomal RNA", at positions 524 to 776 of the family's 1533-position model. The record is from RNAcentral.
UACGUAGGGGGCUAGCGUUGCUCGGAAUCACUGGGCGUAAAGCGCACGUAGGCGGCUUGCUAAGUCGGGGGUGAAAUCCUGGAGCUCAACUCCAGAACUGCCUUCGAUACUGGCGAGCUCGAGUCCGGGAGAGGUGAGUGGAACUGCGAGUGUAGAGGUGAAAUUCGUAGAUAUUCGCAAGAACACCAGUGGCGAAGGCGGCUCACUGGCCAGGUACUGACGCUGAGGUGCGAAAGCGUGGGGAGCAAACAGG